RNAcentral lists this long non-coding RNA (1223 nucleotides) under Daphnia pulicaria. RNAcentral's name for it is "uncharacterized LOC124350864, transcript variant X6". The record is from RNAcentral. Lineage: Eukaryota; Metazoa; Arthropoda; Branchiopoda; Diplostraca; Daphniidae.
UUCCGGAAAAUUUGCAUAAAACUAAAAAGUGAACUUUGUUCUGGGUAAAUUUCUAAGGACUUUCAGCUAGGUUUAAGCAAAUAAAAGUGCACCGUUUAAGUUAUAUAAGUAUCUAAAGAACUGAAUUGCUUUUGAGUCAUCCGAGUUUCGAAGGUGUCAAAUAGAUGGCAUUUGUCCUCUUUGCCAUGUCGGAUUCAUGGCGGAUUGCUUUUUUGUUGUCAAAAGUUUUCCUAUUUUCUCCUGAAAAUUACCGAUGAAUUCCCAAGUAAAUCCAAGUUUAUUUCUGUGCAUUUUGUUUGUGGUGAGAUUUAUUCCGUAUGUGUUCAUAUUCAACGGAAUUAUCAGGAGUUUCUAUUGAUCUUGGUAGAUCACUACCUCAGCGUGGACACCUUGUUUUUUCCGAACAAAUUUUCUACAAGUACCGUUUGACAGACAAGGAAAGCUAUGGGAAACAUAAUGUAGACCAUGGGUAAUCUUCAUGUCUAUUGCAGCGAGAAGUCACGUGAAAAGAUGCAGGGCACAUACCAAUCUAUGUUAUUCAACAUGAUUAACUGUUUGAUGCCAAAGUAAGGUCAAUGCCAAAGGACAGUUAGGAGUCUAACUCAAACACAGAUGGCUUCUGUUGCUGCCUCAGUCACAGGCAGGAAAGUUACUUUCUUUCUUCAGAGAAUUGGAAAGCUGCUGCAUCCUUACUUGACUCAUUUCAUGUUCUGGAUAGCUUAGGAAACCUGAUUGCUGGUGUUAUCAAUCCAUUUAGAUAAUGACCAAGAGGAUGCGGCUUACAGACUGAACAUCUCUUCGAGACGGGUGUCAGCAUCACUUCGACGUGGCGGUUGCAUAACAUGUUCUACGUGGAUCAUCUAUUGUUAUUGGUAUGAAUUUUGUGUUAAUUAACUCGUUUGCUGCCACGCCUUUUUAUUCCCAUGUUAGCUUCUUCUUAGCACCAGCCCAAAUUUUGCCGAAAGGCCCUGGCAGUGCACCAUAGGGACUUCCCCGUUUUCGAUGCGGUGAUGGAUUCUAAAGGUGUGCAUUCCAUGUUCUCCUGUCACCGUGUCAGCCCGGACUUGUCACAGAUGGCAAGUCCCACUUUGGUCAUGGAUCCUUAAGACAUGGCGCGUAGGGAGUAGAAAACAACCUACGUGUUGUAUGGCGUGGCAGCCAAUGGGUUAAUUAUGUGUAUAUGUGUUGUAAAUGUGUUAUGUGUGUAUGUUAUGUGUAAAAAA